GAUGAAGAACGUAGCGAAAUGCGAUAAGUAAUGUGAAUUGCAGAAUUCAGUGAAUCAUCGAAUCUUUGAACGCACAUUGCGCCCGCCAGUAUUCUGGCGGGCAUGCCUGUUCGAGCGUCACUUUCACCAUCAAGCUCUGCUUGUGUUGGGGUCCUGCGGCUGCCCGCAGGCCCUGAAACCCAGUGGCGGGCUCGCUAGUCACACCGAGCGCAGUAGCACAUCUCGCUCAGGGCGUGCGGCGGGUUCUUGCCGUAAAACAACCCCCCCUUUUCACCAAGGUUGACCUCGGAUCAGGUAGGAAUACCCGCUGAACUUAAGCAUAUCAAUAAGCGGAGGA
This 337-nucleotide unclassified non-coding RNA is filed under the name soil metagenome. Its description in RNAcentral is "partial contains 5.8S ribosomal RNA, internal transcribed spacer 2, and large subunit ribosomal RNA". The stretch from base 1 to 120 matches the Rfam family "5.8S ribosomal RNA", at positions 35 to 154 of the family's 154-position model. The record is from RNAcentral.